GCAAGUCGAACGAGUUCUCGUUGAUGAUCGGUGCUUGCACCGAGAUUCAACAUGGAACGAGUGGCGGACGGGUGAGUAACACGUGGGUAACCUGCCCUUAAGUGGGGGAUAACAUUUGGAAACAGAUGCUAAUACCGCAUAGAUCCAAGAACCGCAUGGUUCUUGGCUGAAAGAUGGCGUAAGCUAUCGCUUUGGAUGGACCCGCGGCGUAUUAGCUAGUUGGUGAGGUAAUGGCUCACCAAGGCGAUGAUACGUAGCCGAACUGAGAGGUUGAUCGGCCACAUUGGGACUGAGACACGGCCCAAACUCCUACGGGAGGCAGCAGUAGGGAAUCUUCCACAAUGGACGCAAGUCUGAUGGAGCAACGCCGCGUGAGUGAAGAAGGCUUUCGGGUCGUAAAACUCUGUUGUUGGAGAAGAAUGGUCGGCAGAGUAACUGUUGUCGGCGUGACGGUAUCCAACCAGAAAGCCACGGCUAACUACGUGCCAGCAGCCGCGGUAAUACGUAGGUGGCAAGCGUUAUCCGGAUUUAUUGGGCGUAAAGCGAGCGCAGGCGGUUUUUUAAGUCUGAUGUGAAAGCCCUCGGCUUAACCGAGGAAGCGCAUCGGAAACUGGGAAACUUGAGUGCAGAAGAGGACAGUGGAACUCCAUGUGUAGCGGUGAAAUGCGUAGAUAUAUGGAAGAACACCAGUGGCGAAGGCGGCUGUCUGGUCUGUAACUGACGCUGAGGCUCGAAAGCAUGGGUAGCGAACAGGAUUAGAUACCCUGGUAGUCCAUGCCGUAAACGAUGAAUGCUAGGUGUUGGAGGGUUUCCGCUCUUCAGUGCCGCAGCUAACGCAUUAAGCAUUCCGCCUGGGGAGUACGACCGCAAGGUUGAAACUCAAAGGAAUUGACGGGGGCCCGCACAAGCGGUGGAGCAUGUGGUUUAAUUCGAAGCAACGCGAAGAACCUUACCAGGUCUUGACAUCUUUUGAUCACCUGAGAGAUCAGGUUUCCCCUUCGGGGGCAAAAUGACAGGUGGUGCAUGGUUGUCGUCAGCUCGUGUCGUGAGAUGUUGGGUUAAGUCCCGCAACGAGCGCAACCCUUAUGACUAGUUGCCAGCAUUUAGUUGGGCACUCUAGUAAGACUGCCGGUGACAAACCGGAGGAAGGUGGGGAUGACGUCAAAUCAUCAUGCCCCUUAUGACCUGGGCUACACACGUGCUACAAUGGAUGGUACAACGAGUUGCGAGACCGCGAGGUCAAGCUAAUCUCUUAAAGCCAUUCUCAGUUCGGACUGUAGGCUGCAACUCGCCUACACGAAGUCGGAAUCGCUAGUAAUCGCGGAUCAGCACGCCGCGGUGAAUACGUUCCCGGGCCUUGUACACACCGCCCGUCACACCAUGAGAGUUUGUAACACCCGAAGCCGGUGGCGUAACCCUUUAGGGAGCGAGCCGUCUAAGGUGGGACAAAUGAUAGGGUGAAGU
This 1464-nucleotide ribosomal RNA is filed under the name Lacticaseibacillus casei. Its description in RNAcentral is "bacterial SSU rRNA". It matches the Rfam family "Bacterial small subunit ribosomal RNA". Lineage: Bacteria; Bacillati; Bacillota; Bacilli; Lactobacillales; Lactobacillaceae. The record is from RNAcentral.